Non-coding RNA from Caenorhabditis elegans, 21 nucleotides. The record is from Ensembl. NCBI's taxonomy places the organism in Eukaryota, Metazoa, Nematoda, Chromadorea, Rhabditida, Rhabditidae.
UAUUAACGAUGAAUAAAACUU